RNAcentral lists this ribosomal RNA (535 nucleotides) under uncultured bacterium. RNAcentral's name for it is "bacterial SSU rRNA". It matches the Rfam family "Bacterial small subunit ribosomal RNA", at positions 393 to 921 of the family's 1533-position model. The record is from RNAcentral.
CAUUCCGCGUGCAGGACGAAGGCUUCGGGUUGUAAACUGCUUUUGUACGGAACGAAAAGGUCCUGGUUAAUACCCGGGGCUCAUGACGGUACCGUAAGAAUAAGCACCGGCUAACUACGUGCCAGCAGCCGCGGUAAUACGUAGGGUGCAAGCGUUAUCGGAAUUACUGGGCGUAAAGCGUGCGCAGGCGGUUAUGUAAGACAGAUGUGAAAUCCCCGGGCUCAACCUGGGAACUGCAUUUGUGACUGCAUAGCUAGAGUACGGUAGAGGGGGAUGGAAUUCCGCGUGUAGCAGUGAAAUGCGUAGAUAUGCGGAGGAACACCGAUGGCGAAGGCAAUCCCCUGGACCUGUACUGACGCUCAUGCACGAAAGCGUGGGGAGCAAACAGGAUUAGAUACCCUGGUAGUCCACGCCCUAAACGAUGUCAACUGGUUGUUGGGUCUUCACUGACUCAGUAACGAAGCUAACGCGUGAAGUUGACCGCCUGGGGAGUACGGCCGCAAGGGUUGAAACUCAAAGCGAAUUGACGGGAGAC